Molecule: small RNA, 506 nt
Filed under: Pongo abelii (Sumatran orangutan)
Lineage: Eukaryota; Metazoa; Chordata; Mammalia; Primates; Hominidae
Description: retained intron
Source: RNAcentral
AAGUGUCUGACCAUCAUGUGGGCCCUGGGUCAAGCGGGUUUUGCCAACCUCACCGAGGGACUGAAAGUGUGGCUGGGGAUCAUGCUGCCUGUGCUGGGCAUCAAGUCUCUGUCUCCCUUUGCCAUCACAUACCUGGAUCGGCUGCUCCUGAUGCAUCCCAGCCUUACCAAGGGCUUCGGCAUGAUUGGCCCCAAGGACUUCUUCCCACUUCUGGACUUUGCCUAUAUGCCGAACAACUCCCUGACACCCAGCCUGCAGGAGCAACUGUGUCAGCUCUACCCCCGACUGAAGGUGCUGGCAUUUGGAGCAAAGCCAGAUUCCACCCUGCAUACCUACUUUCCUUCUUUCCUGUCCAGAGCCACCCCUAGCUGUCCCCCUGAGAUGAAGAAAGAGGUGAGGAUAUGGUAGGAGGCUUCUUCUCCUUCCCCAGGGGUCAGCUGUAGCGGUCCCUAUCUGCUGACAAAGGCCUUGCCUUCACAGAGCCCAUUCUGAGGCUUUUCCUUAGC